AUGAUUUACAUUUGAGUGAGUGGCGAACUGGUGAGUAACACGUGGGAAACCUGCCCAGAAGCGGGGGAUAACACCUGGAAACAGAUGCUAAUACCGCAUAACAACUUGGACCGCAUGGUCCGAGCUUGAAAGAUGGCUUCGGCUAUCACUUUUGGAUGGUCCCGCGGCGUAUUAGCUAGAUGGUGGGGUAACGGCUCACCACGGCAAUGAUACGUAGCCGACCCUGAGAGGGUAAUCGGGCCCACAUUUGGGGAACUGAGACACGGCCCCAAACUCC
Molecule: ribosomal RNA, 277 nt
Filed under: uncultured Lactobacillus sp.
Lineage: Bacteria; Bacillati; Bacillota; Bacilli; Lactobacillales; Lactobacillaceae
Description: partial 16S ribosomal RNA
Rfam family: Bacterial small subunit ribosomal RNA
Source: RNAcentral